GCGCGAGCAAGAGAAGGGGUGCGGUGAAAAAAAAAUCCUCCGACCCAUCGUAAGUGUCUUUGAUCCCUGCUAAGAGUAUUUUCAAGGUAAAAUUAGUACCAUCCAUGAAUAAAAAUGGGAAAAAUAUUAGAAUUAGUACUCAAUUUGCCCCCUUCAAUGUCAAACUUUUUAAAUUUGCCCCUCUAUACUCACAUCCUGGAUCCGUCCCUGCUUAGAUUUAGUAGUCUUUUUUUAGAGCAGCAGAAGCAAAUUAGUCAACUUGGCUUUUACUGCUGCGGACCUUUCGUUUUUUUUUUAGCGAAUGCUGCGACCUUUCGUGUGAGCGACUGAGCGUUUGCGGAAGGCGGCCGCAGUUUCUGGAUCGUGGGCGAGCUCACGCCCUGGAGAUCGAUGGAGAGGAGGGCAAAGCCCAGGGGAAAAUCUCUCCUGGGCCAGGUAUAGGCCGGUCCACUAAAUGGGCCAAGGGAGAGAGGGUGGCCCAAGAGAGAAAAAAGAGAUGGUGAGGGAGAGGGGGGCUACGGCCAAGGGAGAGAGGGGCUACGGCCGAGAGGUGUAAGACAGACACGAAGAGAGGCGGGCCAGGCCGGCAGGAGAAGAUAAACUAGGCUUCGGCCCAGAGAACUGGCAAAACGACCUUUUCUUUUAAUCCUUUGUAAACUCUGAAGUUUCAUAAAAUCCAAAAAUAAAAUGCAGAUCAAGGAAUGAUAUACAUCUAGAUCCAAUUGAAUUUCUGCUGCUGUGCGUUUGGCUGCGAUAUGCUGGGUCAUUUGGACAUGUCGUAACGCAGCUUGCUUUGAAUUCAAACUGAUCAAGGAUCCGGUGGAACUAAUUUGUCGUAAGAACUUACUGCUCCGUUAUGUUUUUUAAUGGAGUGCGGCCGCUUGUACGCAGGUGGAUGGAAUUUUUUUUUGAAUUUCUUCUAUAAAAGAAAUAUCACUAUUCCUUGGUGGUAAUGUGUAGGAAGAAGGGUGACAAUCUUUUCUUUCUUCAGGAUAGAUAAAUUUCGUCUUUAUAGUUCAUUUCAUAUCUAGCAUAACGUUCUUCGGCCAGAGUUAAAAUUCAAGGGUGUAUAUCUAAUAUGAUGAUUACAAAUAAAAUAAU
RNAcentral lists this long non-coding RNA (1101 nucleotides) under Brachypodium distachyon (stiff brome). RNAcentral's name for it is "long non-coding RNA (BDIS_LNC002593)". Lineage: Eukaryota; Viridiplantae; Streptophyta; Magnoliopsida; Poales; Poaceae. The record is from RNAcentral.